RNAcentral lists this transfer-messenger RNA (300 nucleotides) under Candidatus Pelagibacteraceae bacterium. It matches the Rfam family "Alphaproteobacteria transfer-messenger RNA". From Rfam's summary of the family: Bacterial tmRNA, also known as 10Sa RNA or SsrA, is named for its dual tRNA and mRNA-like properties. Lineage: Bacteria; Pseudomonadati; Pseudomonadota; Alphaproteobacteria; Candidatus Pelagibacterales; Candidatus Pelagibacteraceae. The record is from RNAcentral.
UUUAUUGAAUCUUUAUUUUUUGAUUUUAUAUUAUAUCUGUUGGUUUUCCAACUAUGACGAUAAACGAGUUUCGUAAUAAACAUUGCGGACGUGGGGGCAGUACCCACCACCUCCACCAUUUACAACUUAUGGGGGUGAAUCAGAAUCGACGAGUGUCUAAAGGCUAUUCUUUCGUUCGAGAUGGUUCCGACGUAACGGGCUAAUUAUAAAUGCAAAUGAUAAAUUUGCACUUGCUGCUUAAUUAACUUUGUUAAUUAGGUAAACGGGGCUUGGGGCACCUGGCAACAGAACGCCCCUUUA